AUUGAACGCUGGCGGCAGGCUUAACACAUGCAAGUCGAGCGAGCGGCGGACGGGUGAGUAAUGUCUGGGAAACUGCCUGAUGGUGGGGGAUAACUAAUGGAAACGGUAGCUAAUACCGCAUACCAUCAGAUGUGCCCAGAUGGGAUUAGCUAGUAGGUGGGGUAAGGGCUCACCUAGGAGACGAACCCUAGCUGGUCUGAGAGGAUGACCUGCCACAGUGGAGAUGAGACACGGUCCAGACUCCGACGGUAGGCAGAAGUGGGGAAUAUUGCACAAUGGGCGCAAGCCGGCUGCAGCCAUGCCGCUUGUGUGAAGAAGGCCUGCGGGUUGUAAAGCACUUUCAGCGAGGAGGCGUUACUCGCAGAAGAAGCACCGGCUAACUCCGUGCCAGCAGCCGCGGUAAUAC
Molecule: ribosomal RNA, 406 nt
Filed under: uncultured bacterium
Lineage: Bacteria
Description: partial 16S ribosomal RNA
Rfam family: Bacterial small subunit ribosomal RNA
Source: RNAcentral